Molecule: ribosomal RNA, 119 nt
Filed under: Malacanthus brevirostris (quakerfish)
Lineage: Eukaryota; Metazoa; Chordata; Actinopteri; Malacanthidae
Description: partial 16S rRNA
Source: RNAcentral
CACCAAACAGCUAGCCUUAUCAUUUAAAAACAACAAACCCUUAUUAAUAACCCCAAAUAUACUAACAAUAACUGCAAUCAAACCAUUUUCCCCUCCCAGUAUAGGUGAUAGAAAAGAGA